CCUUUUAUCGGGGAUCUAUAGUCUUCUAUAGAUCCUGUCUGAACCCAUGUCUAUUGCGUACUUAUGUUUCCUCGGCGGACUUGUUCCGCCGACUGGACUCUUCAAAACCUUUUGUAAUUGUAAUCAGCGUCUGAAAAAUAUUUAAUAUUUA
This 151-nucleotide unclassified non-coding RNA is filed under the name uncultured Pleosporales. Its description in RNAcentral is "sequence contains ITS1". The record is from RNAcentral. Lineage: Eukaryota; Fungi; Ascomycota; Dothideomycetes; Pleosporales.